RNAcentral lists this ribosomal RNA (253 nucleotides) under uncultured bacterium. Its description in RNAcentral is "partial 16S ribosomal RNA". It matches the Rfam family "Bacterial small subunit ribosomal RNA", at positions 524 to 776 of the family's 1533-position model. The record is from RNAcentral.
UACGUAGGGUGCGAGCGUUGUCCGGAAUUAUUGGGCGUAAAGAGCUUGUAGGUGGUUUGUCGCGUCUGCUGUGAAAUCCCUCGGCUUAACCGGGGAACUGCGUCUGAUACUGGAUGGCUUGAGGUUGGGAGAGGGAUGCGGAAUUCCAGGUGUAGCGGUGAAAUGCGCAGAUAUCAGGAGGAACACCGGUGGCGAAGGCGGGUCUCUGGGCAGUAACUGACGCUGAGGAGCGAAAGCGUGGGGAGCGAACAGG